RNAcentral lists this ribosomal RNA (445 nucleotides) under uncultured bacterium. RNAcentral's name for it is "partial 16S ribosomal RNA". It matches the Rfam family "Bacterial small subunit ribosomal RNA", at positions 354 to 796 of the family's 1533-position model. The record is from RNAcentral.
GUGAGGAAUAUUGGUCAAUGGGCGGGAGCCUGAACCAGCCAAGUCGCGUGAAGGAAGAAGGAUCUAUGGUUCGUAAACUUCUUUUGCAGGGGAAUAAAGUGCAGGACGUGUCCUGUUUUGUAUGUACCCUGAGAAUAAGGAUCGGCUAACUCCGUGCCAGCAGCCGCGGUAAUACGGAGGAUCCGAGCGUUAUCCGGAUUUAUUGGGUUUAAAGGGUGCGUAGGUGGGUUGAUAAGUCAGCGGUGAAAGUUUGCAGCUUAACUGUAAAAAUGCCGUUGAAACUGUCGGACUUGAGUGUAAAUGAGGUAGGCGGAAUGCGUGGUGUAGCGGUGAAAUGCAUAGAUAUCACGCAGAACUCCGAUUGCGAAGGCAGCUUACUAAGCUACAACUGACACUGAAGCACGAAAGCGUGGGGAUCAAACAGGAUUAGAUACCCGUGUAGUCC